Long non-coding RNA from Salmo trutta (river trout), 4314 nucleotides. The record is from Ensembl. NCBI's taxonomy places the organism in Eukaryota, Metazoa, Chordata, Actinopteri, Salmoniformes, Salmonidae.
UCUAACAGACAUACCCUGACAGAGCUGUUUGCUUUGGAGCUGGUCGGAUGAUUAAGUUGUCACACGCUGUACAGAUUUGAUCGAUUUGGUGUCUGAAAGGGCGUUUUAUGGCGUUGAUGGUUUUGAAUGUAAAAGGAAGGACAGUGUAAUGACUGAGAACACAUUCUCAUUUACAGCAACAAUCUGGGGAAUAGUUACAGGAGGGUGAAUGAGCCAAUUGGAAUCUGGGGAUGAUUAGGUGGCCAUAAUGGUAUGAGGGCCGGAUUGGGAACUUAUCCAGGACACUGGGGUUAACACCCCUACAAUAAGUGCCAUGGGAUCUUUAGUGACCACAGAGAGUCAGAACACCUGUUUAAUGUCCCAUCUGAAAGACAGCACUCUACACAGGGCAAUGUCCCCAAUCACUGCCCUGGGGGAUUGGGAUUCUUUUUUUAAAUGUUAUUUUUUAGACCAGAGGAAAGAGUGCCUCCUACUGGCCCUCCAACACCACUUCCAGCAGCAUCUGGUCUCCCAUCCAGGACCAACCCUGCUCUGCUUCAGAGGCAAGCCAGCAGUGGGAUGCAGGGUGGUAUGCUGCUGGCAAUGUCUUAGAGGAGUCUGUUGCCUUUUUAAACUGCUUGCACACCCAAACACCCCUUCACACACCCAAACACCCCACACACACAUACCCAAACACCCCCCACACACACACCCAAACACCCCCCACACACACACACACUCAAACACCCCCCCCCCCACACACACCCAAACACCCCCUACACACAUACCCAAACACCCCCCCACACACAUACCCAAACACCCCACACACACACACCCAAACACCCCACACACACAUACCCAAACACCCCACACACACAUACCCAAACACCCCACACACACAUACCCAAACACCCCACACACACACACACCCAAACACCCCCCCCACACACAUACCCAAACACCCCCCCCACACACAUACCCAAACACACCCCACACACACACCCAAACACCCCCCCACACACACACCCAAACACCCCCCCCACACACAUACCCAAACACCCCACACACACAUACCCAAACACCCCACACACACAUACCCAAACACCCCACACACACAUACCCAAACACCCCACACACACAUACCCAACACCCACACACAUAUACCCAAACACCCCACACACAUACCCAAGCACACCCCACACACACACCCAAACACCCCCCCACACACACACCCAAACACCCCCCCCACACACACCCAAACACCCCCCCACACACACCCAAACACCCCCCCCACACACAUACCCAAACACCCCCCCACACACAUACCCAAACACACCCCACCCACACACAUACCCAAACACACCCCACCCAAACACACCCAAACACACCCCACCCAAACACACCCAAACACCCCCCCACACACAUACCCAAACACACCCCACACACACACCCAAACACACCCCACACACACACCCAAACACACCCCACACACACACCCAAACACACCCCACACACACACCCAAACACCCCACACACACACCCAAACACCCCACACACACACACCCAAACACCCCACACACACAUACCCAAACACCCCACACACACAUACCCAAACACCCCACACACACAUACCCAAACACCCCACACACACAUACCCAAACACCCCACACACAUAUACCCAAACACCCCACACACAUACCCAAGCACACCCCACACACACACCCAAACACCCCCCCACACACACACCCAAACACCCCCCCACACACACCCAAACACCCCCCCACACACAUACCCAAACACCCCCCCACACACAUACCCAAACACCCCACACACACAUACCCAAACACCCCACACACACAUACCCAAACACACCCCACCCACACACAUACCCAAACACACCCCACCCAAACACACCCAAACACACCCCACCCAAACACACCCAAACACCCCCCACACACAUACCCAAACACACCCCACACACAUACCCAAACACACCCCACACACACACCCAAACACCCCACACACACACCCAAACACCCCACACACACACCCAAACACCCCACACACACACACCAAACACCCCACACACACAUACCCAAACACCCCACACACACAUACCCAAACACCCCACACACACAUACCCAAACACCCCACACACAUAUACCCAAACACCCCACACACAUACCCAAGCACACCCCACACACACACCCAACACCCCCCCACACACACACCCAAACACCCCCCCACACACACCCAAACACCCCCCCACACACAUACCCAAACACCCCACACACACAUACCCAAACACCCCACACACACAUACCCAAACACCCCACACACACAUACCCAAACACACCCCACACACACAUACCCAAACACCCCCCACACACAUACCCAAACACCCCACACACACAUACCCAAACACCCCACACACACACACCCAAACACCCCCCCACACACAUACCCAAACACCCCCCCACACACAUACCCAAACACCCCCCCACACACAUACCCAAACACCCCCCCACACACAUACCCAAACACACCCCCACACACACACCCAAACACACCCCCACACACACACACCCAAACACCCCCCCACACACAUACCCAAACACCCCACACACACAUACCCAAACACCCCACACACACAUACCCAAACACCCCACACACACAUACCCCAAACUCCCCACACACACAUACCCAAACACCCCACACACAUAUACCCAAACACCCCACACACAUACCCAAGCACACCCCACACACACACCCAAACACCCCCCCCCACACACACCCAAACACCCCCCCACACACACCCCAAACACCCCCCACACACAUACCCAAACACCCCCCCCACACACAUACCCAAACACACCCCACCCACACACAUACCCAAACACACCCCACCCAAACACACCCAAACACACCCCACCCAAACACCCACCCACACACAUACCCAAACACACCCCACACACACACCCAAACACACCCCACACACACACCCAAACACCUCACACCCACACCCAAACACCCCACACACACACCAAACACCCCACACACACACACCCAACACCCCACACACACAUACCCAAACACCCCACACACACAUACCCAACACCCCACACACAUAUACCCAAACACCCCACACACAUACCCAAGCACACCCCACACACACACACCCAAACACCCCCCCCCCACACACACCCAAACACCCCCCCACACACACCCAAACACCCCCCCACACACAUACCCAAACACCCCACACACACAUACCCAAACCCCCCACACACACAUACCCAAACACACCCCACACACACAUACCCAAACACCCCACACACACAUACCCAAACACCCCACACACACAUACCCAAACACCCCACACACACAUACCCAAACACCCCACACACACAUACCCAACACCCCACACACACAUACCCAAACACCCCACACACACAUACCCAAACACCCCCACACACACAUACCCAAACACCCCACACACACACACCCAAACACCCCACACACACAUACCCAAACACCCCACACACACAUACCCAAACACCCCACACACACAUACCCAAACACACCCCACCCACACACAUACCCAAACACACCCCACCCAAACACACCCAAACACACCCCACACACACACCCAAACACCCCCCCACACACAUACCCAAACACACCCCACACACACACCCAAACACACCCCACACACACACCCAAAGACCUCACACACACACCCAAACACCCCACACACACACCCAAACACCCCACACACACACACCCAAACACCCCACACACACAUACCCAAACACCCCACACACACAUACCCAAACACCCCACACACAUAUACCCAAACACCCCACACACAUACCCAAGCACACCCCACACACACACCCAAACACCCCCCCCACACACACACCCAAACACCCCCCCCACACACACCCAAACACCCCCCCACACACAUACCCAAAACACCCCACACACACAUACCCAAACACACCCCACACACACAUACCCAAACACCCCACACACACAUACCCAAACACCCCACACACACAUACCCAAACACCCCACACACACAUACCCAAACACCCCACACACACAUACCCAAACACCCCACACACACAUACCCAAACACCCCACACACACAUACCCAAACACCCCACACACACAUACCCAAACACCCCACACACACACGAACGUACGCUAGGGCUGGGCUAUAUUGCCUAAAACUCAUAUCUCGAUUCUUUCAAAAUUAUGGGCGACAAAAUAUAUAUCUUAAUAAAAAAAUGUUAUGUUUUUUCUACAUGCUUCGUUGUAGGUAAAAUCCAC